UGGCCAGACUCCUACGGGAGGCAGCAGUGAGGAAUAUUGGUCAAUGGGCGAGAGCCUGAACCAGCCAAGUCGCGUGAAGGAUGACGGCCCUACGGGUUGUAAACUUCUUUUGUCAGGGAGCAAUUGAGUCCACGUGUGGGCUUAGCGAGAGUACCUGAAGAAAAAGCAUCGGCUAACUCCGUGCCAGCAGCCGCGGUAAUACGGAGGAUGCGAGCGUUAUCCGGAUUUAUUGGGUUUAAAGGGUGCGUAGGCGGAAUAUCAAGUCAGCGGUAAAAUCGCGGGGCUCAACCUCGCUCCGCCGUUGAAACUGGCGUUCUUGAGUGGGCGAGAAGUAUGCGGAAUGCGUGGUGUAGCGGUGAAAUGCAUAGAUAUCACGCAGAACUCCGAUUGCGAAGGCAGCAUACCGGCGCCCAACUGACGCUGAAGCACGAAAGCGUGGGUAUCGAACAGGAUUAGAUACCCCUGUA
This 467-nucleotide ribosomal RNA is filed under the name uncultured bacterium. RNAcentral's name for it is "bacterial SSU rRNA". It matches the Rfam family "Bacterial small subunit ribosomal RNA", at positions 328 to 792 of the family's 1533-position model. The record is from RNAcentral.